AGAAUCAACGCUGGCGGCGUGCCUAACACAUGCAAGUCGAACGAGAAAGUGGAGCAAUCCAUGAGUACAGCGGCGCACGGGUGAGUAACACGUGACUAACCUACCCUUGAGUGGGGAAUAACCUGGAGAAAUCUAGGCUAAUACCGCAUAACACCUACGGGUCAAAGGAGCAAUUCGCUUAAGGAGGGGGUCGCGGCAGAUUAGCUAGUUGGCGGGGUAAUGGCCCACCAAGGCAGUGAUCUGUA
This 245-nucleotide ribosomal RNA is filed under the name uncultured bacterium. RNAcentral's name for it is "partial small subunit ribosomal RNA". It matches the Rfam family "Bacterial small subunit ribosomal RNA", at positions 26 to 285 of the family's 1533-position model. The record is from RNAcentral.